GAAAGCUGUAGAUGUGGUUGUGCUGGCUCUCCGGAGUAAUGUGCACGCCCGUCUCACUCUCACCUUCAUUCAACUGUGCACUUUUGACGGAUGGGAUAUCUUUUCCGCUUCACCGCGGGUUUGGGGGUCAAGCGUUCAUUCGCGUUUUCCCCUGCUUUCCCAUCCGUAACCCCCCUUACAACACACUUUAAAAAAUCAACCCAGAAUGUCUGAUUGACCUUUUACGGUCUUAAUCUUUUAAUACAACUUUUAACAACGGAUCUCUUGGCUCU
Molecule: unclassified non-coding RNA, 272 nt
Filed under: rhizosphere metagenome
Description: partial ribosomal RNA internal transcribed spacer region
Source: RNAcentral